Molecule: ribosomal RNA, 931 nt
Filed under: uncultured bacterium
Lineage: Bacteria
Description: bacterial SSU rRNA
Rfam family: Bacterial small subunit ribosomal RNA
Source: RNAcentral
AGAGUUUGAUCCUGGCUCAGAAUCAACGCUGGCGGCGUGCCUAACACAUGCAAGUCGAACGCGAAAGCCCCUUCGGGGGUAAGUAGAGUGGCGUCCGGGUGAGUAACACGUGGGUAAUCUGCCUUCGGGUGGGGAAUAACCCAGGGAAACUUGGGCUAAUACCGCAUAAUGCAGCGGCACCUAAUGGUGAUUAGUUGUUAAAGCGGGGGAUCGCAAGACCUCGCGCCUGAAGAGGAGCCUGCGGCAGAUUAGCUAGUUGGUGAGGUAAUGGCUCACCAAGGCUGCGAUCUGUAGCUGGUCUGAGAGGACGGCCAGCCACACUGGCACUGACACACGGGCCAGACUCCUACGGGAGGCAGCAGUGGGGAAUUUUGGGCAAUGGGCGAAAGCCUGACCCAGCAACGCCGCGUGAGGGAGGAAAUCCUUCGGGAUGUAAACCUCACAAGCAAGGGAAGAGAGCUGCGGGCUGAAUAAUCCCGCGGUACGACGGUACCUUGCGUAAGCCACGGCUAACUACGUGCCAGCAGCCGCGGUAAUACGUAGGUGGCAAGCGUUGUUCGGAAUUAUUGGGCGUAAAGGGCGCGUAGGCGGCUUGUUAAGUCGGCUGUGAAAGCCCGGGGCUCAACCCCGGAGGGUCAGCCGAUACUGGCAAGCUAGAGUACGGAAGAGGUAGCUGGAAUUCCCGGUGUAGCGGUGAAAUGCGUAGAUAUCGGGAGGAACACCUGAGGCGAAGGCGGGCUACUGGGCCGAUACUGACGCUGAUGCGCGAAAGCCAGGGGAGCGAACGGGAUUAGAUACCCCGGUAGUCCUGGCCCUAAACGAUGGACACUUGGUGUGUCGGGUAUUCCAGUCCCGAUGUGCCGGAGCUAACGCGUUAAGUGUCCCGCCUGGGGAGUACGGUCGCAAGGCUGAAACUUAAAGGAAUUGACGG